AGAGUUUGAUCAUGGCUCAGAUUGAACGCUGGCGGCAGGCCUAACACAUGCAAGUCGAGCGGAAACGAGUUAUCUGAACCUUCGGGGAACGAUAACGGCGUCGAGCGGCGGACGGGUGAGUAAUGCCUAGGAAAUUGCCCUGAUGUGGGGAUAACCAUUGGAAACGAUGGCUAAUACCGCAUAACACCUACGGGUCAAAGAGGGGGACCUUCGGGCCUCUCGCGUCAGGAUAUGCCUAGGUGGGAUUAGCUAGUUGGUGAGGUAAUGGCUCACCAAGGCGACGAUCCCUAGCUGGUCUGAGAGGAUGAUCAGCCACACUGGAACUGAGACACGGUCCAGACUCCUACGGGAGGCAGCAGUGGGGAAUAUUGCACAAUGGGCGCAAGCCUGAUGCAGCCAUGCCGCGUGUGUGAAGAAGGCCUUCGGGUUGUAAAGCACUUUCAGUCGUGAGGAAGGUAGUGUAGUUAAUAGCUGCAUUAUUUGACGUUAGCGACAGAAGAAGCACCGGCUAACUCCGUGCCAGCAGCCGCGGUAAU
This 536-nucleotide ribosomal RNA is filed under the name uncultured bacterium. RNAcentral's name for it is "bacterial SSU rRNA". It matches the Rfam family "Bacterial small subunit ribosomal RNA", at positions 8 to 524 of the family's 1533-position model. The record is from RNAcentral.